CCUGCAGGGACCCGGCAGGAGGGAGCUGCCCCAGCACUAGCCCCGGCCAGCCCCACUCGAGGCCGCUUCCCCGCCGACUGGCUCGGGUACAACCCCCCACCGGCCAGGAGGGGCGGGCGGAGGCUCGGGGGAGGAAGGGGACAGGGCAGCGGAGCCCUGCGGAAGAACUUCUCCGAGCGCCGGAGUCAGCGCCCCGCCGCUUUCAGCCCAGCUUCGCCUCUCCCCUCACGCCUCGGUUUGGUCCCCUCUUUCGCUCGCCCUCCUCGCUGUCGCCCAUUUCUCCCCUUCCCCUCCCUUGCAGUCCCAUCUUCUCCACCCACGCCUCCUCCCCUUCCCCUGGCCCCUGUUUCCCUCGGGCUCUCUUGUCCCCUCCACUCGACUCGAUUCUGCCCCUCUGCUUCCAGCCUGUCCGCACUCCCGCCCUUGGGCAGGGCUCCUUCGCUGGAGACUUUCACUUUUCUUUUCCUCUCCUCCCUUCUUCCUGUUGGCUGCAGCCCCCUUUCCAGGUGGCUCUACCCUUUGCCUCUCUUCUCGGACGGCGGGAGCCUCCUUCCAGGCUCCAGCUGCGCAGCUAUGGAAAAAAAAUGCCACUCAGGGCCUGAAACUGAACUAACUCUCCCACGGCGGGGCCCAGCUGCUGGAGAGCCAGACUAAGGAGCUCCAGGCCCAGCUCCUUGCCGCUUUACUGCUCGGUGCGCUUCUCAGGCGUCCUCGGUGCCAAAGCUCAGGCAGCGCAUUCCUGGCAGCCACCUCAGCAGGGCACCGUUUGUUUUGAUUUUUCCUUCCCUCUCUUAAAACAUUCCCGAGGCCAACUCCAUGGCUCCCAGCGGACGGGUUUUUCUUUCAUUCCACCUUCUCCUUUGCAGAGGUCUCUCAGUCAUUACUAUCAAAGCUGGAAAAUAUGAAGGUACAGAAUUUGUCGGGCACAAGCCAGGCCUACUUACUACCACGUCUUUAAUUCUGGUGCAAUUGAGAACAGAUGCAGUUCUGGGAACCAUGCGACCAAAAACCUUUCCCGUAACACCAUCUCUCCAAUCCCAGCUGGAGAGAACACCUGUAAGAUCCUGUCCACAAUUGUAUUUUGGAACUACUUCAUGACAUCUGACCUGGUUACAACAUGCCCAGUUUAAAUUGCAUCUACAUUACAGCUUAUUUGCUUCACUGAACAGUAUUUGUAUAUCCAAACCUACUCCAGAGCUUAACCAUGUGUGUAUCAGUAGAUCCAGAGAAAAUGUGGGAUGCUAUACCAUACUGCCUCAGCAUGGUACAGUGCAUGGAUGACAUACAAGCUGUUGGAGCUAUUCAGCAGUGUUUAAAGCAAUGUAUUCUCUUUUUUCCAACAGCAAAGGGAAAUAGGUGGGAGGACUGGCCAAACACUUGACACAGGCACAGUUAGGAGUUUGUUUAUAUUGCCAGACCAAAACCACUAAGAGCAUGCUGAAAUGGUACAGGAAGGACAUGUGCCAACAGACAUGUCCCUGGCAAGAGGGAAACACUGUUAGGUCCCACAAUUACUAACUGAGUAAUAACUAUGUGGUAUGUGAGCGUACACCAUAUUCAAAAGUAAUCCACACCAGUAGCUGGGUACAAACUCACUUCGGAGCUGUGGUGUGGACAGGCCCUAAGACCUGAUCCUAAGCCCACCUAAAUUAAUGGGACUUCUUCCAUUGAGUUUAGUGGGCUUUGGAUCAAACCCUAAUGGAGGAGAAGGAGUUCAGCCUCUAUAACUAUUCAGUUCUUUACCUUACACAUAGCAGCUAGUAAGACUGUCAUGAAUAUCACUUUUGUGGGCUCUUUUGGGGUGUUGACACCUAUUGACUAGGCUCUAGACUGAAAUCACCAAGUAAUUCCAGAAGGGCAAUAAAACAGGCAUCAGAUGUUAAUGACUUGCUCACUUUCAAAUUGAUUCAGACCCAAAUCUGAGACCUAGAGGUGAAAUCUUCCAUAUCCUAUUACAGAGCCCUUAAACUAUCCAUUCAUCUGAGAUUUUUCUGUAUAUACACAAUAUGGUGUCUUACUUUUGGUCUAUACAUUUUCAAUUAAACUAAGUAUUAUUCUUCGUUCAGGCUAACAUUUAGAUUGCAGGGUAAUAAGGCAAUUUGGCAGGGAGUAAAAUGUUUCUCAAAAUCCAAAACAUAUUGCAGAAAAAGAAUGCGGUUAUAGUAUAGUAUAGAACAGCCAAAUGGAAUGAAAUUUAGCAUACCACCUAAGAUAGUUGUCAUGCAGAAGUACAAAAUCUGUAUGCAACAGAUUCUGAAAAUCUGAUAAAAUUGCUAUACAGUAAAUAACCUAAAAGGGUGAAAUAUGGACCUCUUGGAUUCUUCCAAGGGCAGUGGAAACCGACUAGAUCAGCAUUAUAAGUACCAGCCACAUAAAUUAGAGAUGUUGGAGGGCGUCUUAAACCUUGCAUCAAAUUUUUUAAAGCUUCCGAAAUUAUUUCAAGAUAAUACAUAUGCAAGCUUGCUUGGAUUAAUACAUACCUUGUUUUCACUUUCUCUGUUGGGUCUCUUUCCAGCCUACCUUGCCAAGAUGUGCAUUAAAUUGCAGUAUUGCAUAACUGAAAUGAGGAAACAGCUUUCUGACAUUCUUUAUGGUUAAACUACAUGAAAAUCCAACAUGCAAGGAUGUAAAUGAAGUCAGAACAAAAUUGGAGCAAAUGUCUGUGUUCUAUCACCUGGAUAUAAUCCUCAUUAAUUGUUCAACCCUGUGAGGAGUUGAGCUCCUCCUGAAAACUUUUGAGUUCCUUCAGUUCCCAUUGGACUUCAGUGGAAAAAGCCUAUUAAGCUCAUGUCGUAGAACCUUGUGUCAGGAAACAAUCCUGCAAUGGUUUCUGAGUGCCUCGUCCAGCCAUGUGUUUAUGAGAAAGGAUGGUUUUAUCGCUAAAGGCCAUAAACUCUAUUAGUAUCUCUAAUUACUAUAUUACUCUGUAAGUAACUAUGGCAGCUAACAGUGUUUCACCCCUGCUAAAGGCCUCUGCUGGCACAUGACCUUCCUGUUACCAUUGGACUAGGACUCAGGAGUUUUUGGUUCAAUUCCUGGCUCUGCCACAGAUUUUCUGACCUUGGGCAAGUCACCUAAUCUAUCCAUAACCCAGUCUCCCCAGCUAUAUAAUGGAGAUAGUAAUACUUCUUUAGUUUGUCUUGUUUCUUUUGAUUGUAAACUGUUUUGGGCAGGAACCGUCUUUUAGUAUGUGUACAUUAUUUGUAUGGUGCACAGCACAAUAGGCCCCAAUCUUCGUUGUGGCCUCUAGGCAAUAUUGUAAUAUACAUGAUUAAUAAUAAAGUUUUAAAUUACUCAAGUAAUGUGUUUCCACCAUACUUUGGGAAGUCACAGGUGUUCCAAAAGUUAGCAAGUAUUAACUUUUUUAAGUAAGAACCCAAACUAACAUGGCAGUAACUUGUGAAGACACCAAUUUUCUUUUUUGAAUUGAAGAUGUAAUAAACUGAGAAUUUUCUCAAUUCUCUUACA
Molecule: long non-coding RNA, 3468 nt
Organism: Caretta caretta (loggerhead turtle)
Lineage: Eukaryota; Metazoa; Chordata; Testudines; Cheloniidae
Source: RefSeq, a predicted model, not a curated record